CAUGUGCCUCAGUCUUUUGAGGCUGAUGAGUGGUCUUUUGACCAAAGCAUGUGAUGAAGAUCCUAGUCUGAGCAUAAAAGUGAUGCAAGUGAGGCCUGAAGAAGCACACGGCUGUUUGCCUCUGAGCACUCUCAUCUAAUGUCUCCCUGCCACACAGAGGACCCGUGAUUUCUUUGAAUACAUGGACGGUUCCUUUACCGUGUCUAUAUCGCACAUUUGCAAAAACAAAGAAAAAAAAGGUUAAUUUCUUCUAUGUAUACCCAGUACACAAAAAAUAUA
Molecule: long non-coding RNA, 279 nt
Organism: Hyla sarda
Lineage: Eukaryota; Metazoa; Chordata; Amphibia; Anura; Hylidae
Exons: 3
Source: RefSeq, a predicted model, not a curated record